This 72-nucleotide transfer RNA is filed under the name Vicugna pacos (alpaca). Its description in RNAcentral is "tRNA-Ala (AGC) (tRNA-Ala-AGC-181-1)". It matches the Rfam family "tRNA". Rfam says of the family: Transfer RNA (tRNA) molecules are approximately 80 nucleotides in length. The record is from Rfam by way of RNAcentral. Lineage: Eukaryota; Metazoa; Chordata; Mammalia; Artiodactyla; Camelidae.
GGGGGUGUAGCUCAGUGGUAGAGUGCAUGCUCAGCAUGCAUGAGGUCCUGGGUUCGAUCCCCAGUACCUCCG